RNAcentral lists this transfer RNA (68 nucleotides) under Argonauta nodosus. RNAcentral's name for it is "tRNA-Thr". It matches the Rfam family "tRNA". From Rfam's summary of the family: Transfer RNA (tRNA) molecules are approximately 80 nucleotides in length. Their secondary structure includes four short double-helical elements and three loops (D, anti-codon, and T loops). The record is from RNAcentral. Lineage: Eukaryota; Metazoa; Mollusca; Cephalopoda; Octopoda; Argonautidae.
UGUUAUAAUAGUUUAAAUAAAACACUGGUCUUGUAAACCAAAAAUAAAUAAAAAUUAUUUUUAUAACU